This 492-nucleotide ribosomal RNA is filed under the name uncultured bacterium. RNAcentral's name for it is "partial 16S ribosomal RNA". It matches the Rfam family "Bacterial small subunit ribosomal RNA", at positions 28 to 507 of the family's 1533-position model. The record is from RNAcentral.
GAUGAACGCUAGCUACAGGCUUAACACAUGCAAGUCGAGGGGAAACGGCAUUAAGUGCUUGCACUUUUUGGACGUCGACCGGCGCACGGGUGAGUAACGCGUAUCCAACCUUCCCAUGACUAAGGGAUAACCUGCCGAAAGGCAGACUAAUACCUUAUGGUCUUCACUGACGGCAUCAGAUGUGAAGUAAAGAUUUAUCGGUUAUGGAUGGGGAUGCGUCUGAUUAGCUUGUUGGCGGGGUAACGGCCCACCAAGGCAACGAUCAGUAGGGGUUCUGAGAGGAAGGUCCCCCACAUUGGAACUGAGACACGGUCCAAACUCCUACGGGAGGCAGCAGUGAGGAAUAUUGGUCAAUGGGCGAGAGCCUGAACCAGCCAAGUAGCGUGCAGGAUGACGGCCCUAUGGGUGGUAAACUGCUUUUGGAUGGGGAUAAAGUCAAUCACGUGUGAUUGUUUGCAGGUACCAUACGAAUAAGGACCGGCUAAUUCCGUG